GAGUAUAUAGCUCAGUGGUAUAGUGCAUGCUUAGCAUGCACAAGGUUCUGAGUUCAAUCCUCAGUACCUUCA
This 72-nucleotide transfer RNA is filed under the name Camelus bactrianus (Bactrian camel). It matches the Rfam family "tRNA". Rfam says of the family: Transfer RNA (tRNA) molecules are approximately 80 nucleotides in length. Their secondary structure includes four short double-helical elements and three loops (D, anti-codon, and T loops). RNAcentral also lists the same sequence under 2 other names. The record is from Rfam by way of RNAcentral. Lineage: Eukaryota; Metazoa; Chordata; Mammalia; Artiodactyla; Camelidae.